GAUGAACGCUGGCUACAGGCUUAACACAUGCAAGUCGAGGGGAAACGACGGGGAAGCUUGCUUCCCCGGGCGUCGACCGGCGCACGGGUGAGUAACGCGUAUCCAACCUGCCUCUGACUGAGGGAUAACCCGUCGAAAGUCGGCCUAAUACCUCAUGGCAUCGUCUGCGGGCAUCCAACGACGAUUAAAGAUUUCAUCGGUCAGAGAUGGGGAUGCGUCUGAUUAGCUUGUUGGCGGGGUAACGGCCCACCAAGGCGACGAUCAGUAGGGGUUCUGAGAGGAAGGUCCCCCACAUUGGAACUGAGACACGGUCCAAACUCCUACGGGAGGCAGCAGUGAGGAAGAUUGGUCAAUGGGCGAGAGCCUGAACCAGCCAAGUAGCGUGCAGGAUGACGGCCCUAUGGGUUGUAAACUGCUUUUAGGCGGGGAUAAAGUGAGGGACGUGUCCUUCAUUGCAGGUACCGCAUGAAUAAGGACCGGCUAAUUCCGUG
Molecule: ribosomal RNA, 491 nt
Filed under: uncultured bacterium
Lineage: Bacteria
Description: partial 16S ribosomal RNA
Rfam family: Bacterial small subunit ribosomal RNA
Source: RNAcentral